Molecule: ribosomal RNA, 468 nt
Filed under: uncultured bacterium
Lineage: Bacteria
Description: partial 16S ribosomal RNA
Rfam family: Bacterial small subunit ribosomal RNA
Source: RNAcentral
GACGAACGCUGGCGGCGUGCUUAACACAUGCAAGUCGAACGGAAAGGCCCUGCUUUUGUGGGGUGCUCGAGUGGCGAACGGGUGAGUAACACGUGAGUAACCUGCCCUUGACUUUGGGAUAACUUCAGGAAACUGGGGCUAAUACCGGAUAGGAGCUCCUGCUGCAUGGUGGGGGUUGGAAAGUUUCGGCGGUUGUGGAUGGUCUCGCGGCUUAUCAGCUUGUUGGUGGGGUAGUGGCUUACCAAGGCUUUGACGGGUAGCCGGCCUGAGAGGGUGACCGGCCACAUUGGGACUGAGAUACGGCCCAGACUCCUACGGGAGGCAGAAGUGGGGAAUAUUGCACAAUGGGCGGAAGCCUGAUGCAGCAACGCCGCGUGCGGGAUGACGGCCUUCGGGUUGUAAACCGCUUUCGCCUGUGACGAAGCGUGAGUGACGGUAAUGGGUAAAGAAGCACCGGCUAACUACGUG